Molecule: long non-coding RNA, 751 nt
Organism: Dromiciops gliroides (monito del monte)
Lineage: Eukaryota; Metazoa; Chordata; Mammalia; Microbiotheria; Microbiotheriidae
Exons: 3
Source: RefSeq, a predicted model, not a curated record
CCAAUCCCUGCUUUGCUCUUUACUAAUUCAUUAUUUUAACUUUGGGAAAAGUUUGCAGUGAAUUUAAAGCUAAUGAAGUGCAUAGGAAAACCUGAGGAGUCAGGUUGAUAGAGUAGCAUGGACUUGUUAAUCUCAGCCUGAUCUUGUCAGUAACAGCAGAGCAGAGGGAGAGAGAGAGGAACUCCGGCUGGGGCAGCGCUCCAAAGGACAGAGUGGAGUGCUUGUGUUUCCAGCACUAUCAAGACCAGUGAAGUGAUCUAAGAAUUCUGAUGUUGGUAUUUACAGAAGAACAGAAGCAUGUGGUCCUCCAGUGUGCUCUGGAAAUAAUGUUGUGCAUAAUCUUCCUGCAUAAUUGCACGCCAAAUGAAAAGACAUCCUUGGAUCAGUUUUUCCAGAAGCCAUCAGGUGACCCUAAGCCUCUCAAAGAAGUCUCCUCCAAGAUACCUGUCAAAAUUUACCCCCAAAAGCAUUCUCAGUGCCAUGACCCUGAUAGGAGUUCUUUCAUCCUUUGAUUUGUUGCAGUAAUCAGAGACAAAUUUAAAAAAGAAAUUCAGCUAACAGCUUUGUAUGGAACACUGAUGCUGUAUGUAGAGUGUACUGUGCAUGUAUUUAAUGACUACUGCCUUUAAAAAUUAGUUGAUAUGCACUUUUAAAAGCUUUAUGUUGGUAUUUGCAUUAAUUUCUGAAUUCCAUUCAAUGUAUUAAAUAUCAAUUACUUACCAUGUGUAAAGCAACAUUCUUGGUGCUGGAG